AUUGAACGCUGGCGGCAGGCCUAACACAUGCAAGUCGAAUGGUAACAGGAAACAGCUUGCUGUUUCGCUGACGAGUGGCGGACGGGUGAGUAAUGUCUGGGAAACUGCCUGAUGGAGGGGGAUAACUACUGGAAACGGUAGCUAAUACCGCAUAACGUCGCAAGACCAAAGAGGGGGACCUUCGGGCCUCUUGCCAUCAGAUGUACCCAGAUGGGAUUAGCUAGUAGGUGGGGUAACGGCUCACCUAGGCGACGAUCCCUAGCUGGUCUGAGAGGAUGACCAGCCACACUGGAACUGAGACACGGUCCAGACUCCUACGGGAGGCAGCAGUGGGGAAUAUUGCACAAUGGGCGCAAGCCUGAUGCAGCCAUGCCGCGUGUAUGAAGAAGGCCUUCGGGUUGUAAAGUACUUUCAGCGGGGAGGAAGGGAGUAAAGUUAAUACCUUUGCUCAUUGACGUUACCCGCAGAAGAAGCACCGGCUAACUCCGUG
This 490-nucleotide ribosomal RNA is filed under the name uncultured bacterium. RNAcentral describes it as "partial 16S ribosomal RNA". It matches the Rfam family "Bacterial small subunit ribosomal RNA", at positions 30 to 507 of the family's 1533-position model. The record is from RNAcentral.